CAGCUUAACUGUAGAACUGCCGUUGAUACUGCUAGUCUUGAGUAUAGUUGAGGUAGCUGGAAUGAGUAGUGUAGCGGUGAAAUGCAUAGAUAUUACUCAGAACACCGAUUGCGAAGGCAGGUUACCAAGUUAUAACUGACGCUGAGGGACGAAAGCGUGGGGAGCGAACAGGAUUAGAUACCCUGGUAGUCCACGCCGUAAACGAUGCUAACUCGUUUUUGGGCUUUAGGGUUCAGAGACUAAGCGAAAGUGAUAAGUUAGCCACCUGGGGAGUACGACCGCAAGGUUGAAACUCAAAGGAAUUGACGGGGGCCCGCACAAGCGGUGGAUCAUGUGGUUUAAUUCGAUGAUACGCGAGGAACCUUACCAAGGCUUAAAUGGGAAUUGACAGCUGUAGAAAUACGGUUUUCUUCGGACAAUUUUCAAGGUGCUGCAUGGUUGUCGUCAGCUCGUGCCGUGAGGUGUUAGGUUAAGUCCUGCAACGAGCGCAACCCCUGUCACUAGUUGCCAUCAUUAAGUUGGGGACUCUAGUGAGACUGCCUACGCAAGUAGCGAGGAAGGUGGGGAUGACGUCAAAUCAUCACGGCCCUUACGCCUUGGGCCACACACGUGAUACAAUGGCCG
RNAcentral lists this ribosomal RNA (624 nucleotides) under Riemerella anatipestifer. RNAcentral describes it as "bacterial SSU rRNA". It matches the Rfam family "Bacterial small subunit ribosomal RNA", at positions 605 to 1236 of the family's 1533-position model. The record is from RNAcentral. Lineage: Bacteria; Pseudomonadati; Bacteroidota; Flavobacteriia; Flavobacteriales; Weeksellaceae.